This 664-nucleotide ribosomal RNA is filed under the name marine bacterium enrichment culture clone I02-E1-S3. RNAcentral's name for it is "bacterial SSU rRNA". It matches the Rfam family "Bacterial small subunit ribosomal RNA", at positions 109 to 769 of the family's 1533-position model. The record is from RNAcentral.
AGUAAUGCAUAGGAAACUGCCCAGUAGUGGGGGAUAGCCCGGGGAAACCCGGAUUAAUACCGCGUACGCCCUUCGGGGGAAAGCAGGGGAUCUUCGGACCUUGCGCUAUUGGAUGUGCCUAUGUCGGAUUAGCUAGUUGGUGGGGUAAAGGCCUACCAAGGCGACGAUCCGUAGCUGGUCUGAGAGGAUGAUCAGCCACAUCGGGACUGAGACACGGCCCGAACUCCUACGGGAGGCAGCAGUGGGGAAUAUUGGACAAUGGGGGCAACCCUGAUCCAGCCAUGCCGCGUGUGUGAAGAAGGCUUUCGGGUUGUAAAGCACUUUCAGUGAGGAGGAAAACUCUGCGACUAAUACUCGUAGGGCUUGACGUUACUCACAGAAGAAGCACCGGCUAACUCCGUGCCAGCAGCCGCGGUAAUACGGAGGGUGCAAGCGUUAAUCGGAAUUACUGGGCGUAAAGCGCGCGUAGGUGGUUUGAUAAGCGAGAUGUGAAAGCCCCGGGCUUAACCUGGGAACGGCAUUUCGAACUGUCAGGCUAGAGUAUGGUAGAGGGUAGUGGAAUUUCCUGUGUAGCGGUGAAAUGCGUAGAUAUAGGAAGGAACGCCAGUGGCGAAGGCGGCUACCUGGACCAAUACUGACACUGAGGUGCGAAAGCGUGGGGAGC